This 1335-nucleotide long non-coding RNA is filed under the name Strigops habroptila (Kakapo). RNAcentral describes it as "lncRNA (ENSSHBG00005014693.1)". The record is from RNAcentral. Lineage: Eukaryota; Metazoa; Chordata; Aves; Psittaciformes; Psittacidae.
UCACAAUUAAAAGUUUAUUUGCAUGGUACACAAUCAAUACUCUACACUUGAAAUUUUCUUGUCAUUGCAGUGGUACAGGAACUUUUUAAGAAAUCUUAAAGGAUUUGAACCUGCAUUAUCUCAUUAUUCUUACAUAACCUGUCAAUAAAUCAAUGCAUUUUGUAUAACUGGAGGCGCCUGCCAUAUUCUUAACUGUCUACCCUGACAAUAAAACUCACUUUAUCAUUCCCAAGCAUUUAAGACUCCACACCUUAACCUCCAAUGCAAUACAAAGCCUUCAUACUGCAGCAUCCCAUCUCUAAAAACCUACAAGAGUGCAAAUUGUCCCCAGCCCAGCCCACUGGCUAAUGUAUGGGAUUUUAGGUUACCCAUUGGGCUUCCCUUCUUUCAUACACAACCUUGGCCCUGACAAUUAGAGCAUCCACAGCCUCUGAUCACCUGUGCAAAGGGAAGAGGAACAUGAUGUCAGCAAAUGGUCUGUAGCACAAUGUGAAUGAAAGCAAAAUCUCAACCCACAACAGAAGUGGAGGAUGCAUGUUGAGGCCCAGCUGGAAUGAUGCAGGAACAUCAAGUGGCACAGCACAGAGGCUCAGCCAGGGCACCCGCUGCAGAACAGUGACAUGACAAGAAUGUUGCACAAUGGGGACACUUGCAAGGUAGAGCUGAUGUGCAGCCAAGAGAACAAGAGAUGUGCAAGGAAAGGCUGUGGCCAGCCUGCCACAGCUGCAUGCCAUGUGUGGUGUCACAGGAUGAAAGGGCUGAACCUGAGCACUUCCAUACUCACAGCCACCUCAGCUGAGUGCUGGGGGACACAGCCUGCAGGCUGGCUAGAGGCAGGCCCUCACUCAGAUCUGGUAGAGGCUCUGGGAGCCACAUGCCAAGGAAUCGCACCUCAAUACUCAUUUGCCCAAGCAAUGGUGCUUUAGCAUGCCAGCAACCUCCUCCCCAGGGCUAUGGGCAUGGAAAGUCAGUUUUCAGUUCUUCCCCAAGAUGGACAAAGAGUUUAAUUCCAGUUCAAAGGAUUGGAAGGUGUUUAAAUACAAUAAAAAUUUACACAAACACACAGCGACUGAAAGAGCAGAGGCAGUGCCAGGAACAGCCUGCAGUGUGAGGGGAAGGGUUUCACCUUCCACAGAUUCUAGCCCCAGAUUCAGGUACUUCCACGUGCUCCCCAGCAAAGUUCUUUGAAGCAGCAAUGUUCUGAUACAUUAAGAACUCCUUCUUGAACACCUCAGAAUAAUUCUCACACUUCUGUCUUCUACUGUUGCCUCCUCCAAAACUCUAUCCCUCAAGCCCAGAAAAAAAGACAAACUCCACUUAAAAAAAAAAAAAAAA